GUAUAACUAGGUAUAACUAGGUUUAAAGUUUCUGAUUUAACUCAUAUUUGACUAGGUUUAUGUUUUAGUCUCUUGGAUUUUUUAGGAAGCUCUUUCCUGUUUGAAAUUUGAAUUGAUUAUUUACUUUGUUUGUUCAUCGGUUCAGGUGGUUUUUAACAAGAAGAAGUAGUUUAAGCUGUGCACUGCUUAAACUCCUGCUGAUUCUAUUGCACCAAGAUCGUGUCAGCUGCAGAGCUAACUUGGUUUAGCUGCUGAUUUGUGCUGAUUGUUGCUCAGUGAGUGUGUAUCUGGUUUGAUUCUUCUAUCCGAGUUCAGUUGAGAAGGCGCAUUUGAGGCAUGCUUCUGCAAAGGCGGUUCUUCGUCUCUCCAAGCACUGGAAUCAUAAGAUACCUGUUGAUAUCUUCUACUUAACCUUGAAGACUUCGGAGAUUUUUACAUAAUGUCUCAAUCUCAAAGUCAAAGUGCCCCUAGCAGUACUAAUGUAGCAUCAUCUACGGCUACAUCACCAUGUCCUCCACAACCAACACAAGCACAACCCAUACAACCAUCAAUGCCUCCCCCAAACCCCUCGUCCUCUAGAAAAAGAAAAGCACCACCUAUUCCAAAGACAAAACAACCAACUAUAAUAGCUUCACUAGGGAGAUCUUCUUCUGAGAGAUCUUGGGUUUGGGAUCAUUUCACUAAGUGUACCGUCUCGGAAAUGCAAGAAGUAGAAAAGGAUGGAAAGAAAGAGAAGGUGGAGGUACAAGUAUUGAAGGCUAAGUGUAACCAUUGUAGCUCCUUUUUUGCAUGUGAUACUAGUGGGGGUGGAACUAGUACUUACAUUAAACAUAUCAAUAAACAUUGCAAGUCAUAUCAACCAACUGAUGAGUUGCAAAAGGUUCUAGGCAGUUCUGGACCUUCUGGGGAUGGGAAUGUCAAAAACAUGCUUGUUGCUAAAGGGUGGAGCCAAGAAGAAAGUGAGGAAGGUAUUAUUGAGUUUAUUGUGCUCGAGGAGGUACCUUUUAGUAUUGUGGAGAGUGAAGGGUUUAGGCGGAUGAUGUGCAAAGUCCAGCCUAGAUUGCAUGUUCCAUCUCGGAGAACUAUGAUGAGGGGGUUAUUCAAUAUGUAUGAUAGCAUGAAAAAUCAGUUAAAAAAGGAGAUACACAAUCAUAGAGUGAGCUUGACUACUGAUACAUGGACAAGUGUGCAAAAUUUGAACUACAUGGUGCUAACUGCU
Molecule: non-coding RNA, 1219 nt
Organism: Malus domestica (apple)
Lineage: Eukaryota; Viridiplantae; Streptophyta; Magnoliopsida; Rosales; Rosaceae
Source: RefSeq, a predicted model, not a curated record